GAUCAUGCUCAGGAUGAACGCUGGCGGCGUGCUUAACACAUGCAAGUCGAACGAAGCACUUUAUUAUGAUUUCUUCGGAAUGACGAUUUAGUGACUGAGUGGCGGACGGGUGAGUAACGCGUGGGUAACCUGCCUUAUACAGGGGGAUAACAGUUAGAAAUGACUGCUAAUACCGCAUAAGCGCACAGGAUUGCAUGAUCUGGUGUGAAAAACUCCGGUGGUAUAAGAUGG
This 231-nucleotide ribosomal RNA is filed under the name uncultured bacterium. Its description in RNAcentral is "partial 16S ribosomal RNA". It matches the Rfam family "Bacterial small subunit ribosomal RNA", at positions 15 to 228 of the family's 1533-position model. The record is from RNAcentral.